GGGCCGAUAGCUCAUCUGGUAGAGCGCCGCACUUGCACUGCGGAGGUGGCGGGUUCGAGUCCUGUUCGGUCCACCA
Molecule: transfer RNA, 76 nt
Filed under: Patescibacteria group bacterium
Lineage: Bacteria
Description: tRNA-Ala
Rfam family: tRNA
About the family: Transfer RNA (tRNA) molecules are approximately 80 nucleotides in length. Their secondary structure includes four short double-helical elements and three loops (D, anti-codon, and T loops).
Source: RNAcentral